Molecule: ribosomal RNA, 253 nt
Filed under: uncultured bacterium
Lineage: Bacteria
Description: partial 16S ribosomal RNA
Rfam family: Bacterial small subunit ribosomal RNA
Source: RNAcentral
UACAGAGGUCCCGAGCGUUGUUCGGAUUCACUGGGCGUAAAGGGUGCGUAGGUGGCGUGGUAAGUUUGAUGUGAAAGCUCAGGGCUUAACCCUGAAAUGGCAUUGAAUACUACUGUGCUGGAGGUUUGGAGGGGGGACUGGAAUUCUUGGUGUAGCAGUGAAAUGCGUAGAUAUCAGGAAGAACACCAAUGGCGAAGGCAGCUCUCUGGGACGGUACUGACGCUGAGACGCGAAAGCGUGGGGAGCGAACAGG